CCCUGGUUAGCUCAGUUGGUGGAGCGCUCCACCGGUAAUGCAGAGGUCCCGGGUUCGAUACUCGGCCAGGCG
RNAcentral lists this transfer RNA (72 nucleotides) under Ixodes scapularis (black-legged tick). It matches the Rfam family "tRNA". From Rfam's summary of the family: Transfer RNA (tRNA) molecules are approximately 80 nucleotides in length. Their secondary structure includes four short double-helical elements and three loops (D, anti-codon, and T loops). Lineage: Eukaryota; Metazoa; Arthropoda; Arachnida; Ixodida; Ixodidae. The record is from Rfam by way of RNAcentral.